RNAcentral lists this small nuclear RNA (298 nucleotides) under Erinaceus europaeus (western European hedgehog). RNAcentral describes it as "7SK RNA (ENSEEUG00000019965.1)". It matches the Rfam family "7SK RNA". Rfam says of the family: 7SK was discovered as an abundant small nuclear RNA in the mid-70s but a possible function has only recently been suggested. Two independent studies have found that 7SK RNA binds the CDK9/cyclin T complex (known as elongation factor P-TEFb). Lineage: Eukaryota; Metazoa; Chordata; Mammalia; Eulipotyphla; Erinaceidae. The record is from RNAcentral.
GCAUGUGGGAGGGAUCUGGCUGCAACACGUCACCCCAGUGAUCGCCCAGGGUUGAUUCGGCUGAUCUGGCUGGCUAGGCGGGUGUCCCCUUCCCCCUCUCCGCUCCGCGUGCGUCCCUCCCAGAGCUGCGCGCUUGGUGGAAGAGGCCGGCCUUCCCCGAACAGAGACGGACCUGUAGCUAUGCUCCCCCACUAGGCCCUCCAGACAAGCUCUCAAGGCCCGAGACUGCGAGGCUUCCUACAAGUGUGCAUCUGCCUCAAGAAGUGACUCUUUUUUUAAAAAAAAAAUUUAUUUAUUU